RNAcentral lists this long non-coding RNA (252 nucleotides) under Brassica napus (rape). Its description in RNAcentral is "long non-coding RNA (BNAP_LNC011604)". Lineage: Eukaryota; Viridiplantae; Streptophyta; Magnoliopsida; Brassicales; Brassicaceae. The record is from RNAcentral.
UUAACCAAAAAUCCUCCAAAGACUUCAAAUUAAGAUAGGAAUUUCGACUUUCGAAAGAAAUAAAUGAUGGUGUGAAAACUUCAAAAGUGAUUUGUGAAUGAUUAAGAGAGUGAUUGAGAUAUUAGAAGGUUGGUAGAGUGUUGAAUGGUCAUGAAGUGCUGAAUAUUUAUAGAACAAAGUUGGUAGCACUCUGAAUAAUAAAUAAAUUUUUAGAGAAAAUGACUAGAAUGUAUAACAAAAGUUGGUUUAUUA